GUAGGUGGCAAGCGUUGUCCGGAAUUAUAGGGCGUAAAGCGCGCGCAGGCGGUUCUUUAAGUCUGAUGUGAAAGCCCACGGCUCAACCGUGGAGGGUCAUUGGAAACUGGAGAACUUGAGUACAGAAGAGGAAAGCGGAAUUCCACGUGUAGCGGUGAAAUGCGUAGAGAUGUGGAGGAACACCAGUGGCGAAGGCGGCUUUCUGGUCUGUAACUGACGCUGAGGCGCGAAAGCGUGGGGAGCAAACAGGAUUAGAUACCCUGGUAGUCCACGCCGUAAACGAUGAGUGCUAAGUGUUAGGGGGGUUUCCGCCCCCCUUAGUGCUGCAGCUAACGCAUUAAGCACUCCGCCCUGGGAGUACGGCCGCAAGGCUG
This 374-nucleotide ribosomal RNA is filed under the name uncultured organism. Its description in RNAcentral is "partial 16S ribosomal RNA". It matches the Rfam family "Bacterial small subunit ribosomal RNA", at positions 527 to 896 of the family's 1533-position model. The record is from RNAcentral.